Small nucleolar RNA from Tachyglossus aculeatus (Australian echidna), 138 nucleotides. The record is from RefSeq and is a predicted model, not a curated record. NCBI's taxonomy places the organism in Eukaryota, Metazoa, Chordata, Mammalia, Monotremata, Tachyglossidae.
CCCCUCUCAGUGUUGCACCUGGAGAGUUUCCAGUACUCUACCAGUCUUGGUUACGUGAUGGAGAAUCGAGCAGAGGCCUACCCAUUCCAUUCCUAGCUUGGGCAGUGGCUGGCGAGAGGAAGGCAAUCUGCUUCAAGU